UGCCAGGCAAAGUCUUUCCGUCCUU
This 25-nucleotide small RNA is filed under the name Arabidopsis thaliana (thale cress). RNAcentral describes it as "ATSL245260". The record is from RNAcentral. Lineage: Eukaryota; Viridiplantae; Streptophyta; Magnoliopsida; Brassicales; Brassicaceae.